CCUCCUUAAAAUAAAAAUCGUCUGAGGUAGGCGUUCACACGAAUUAUUUGUUUUACCCAAAUUAGUUUUUUACUAAGAGUACGGUGAGUUUUUUAACAUUUUUAUAAGUUCAAUCAAGUCGCAUUAAUUAAAUCAUUUAUGUGGUUUAAAUUAAUGUGCAAAUGUCACCAAAUCCGUCGUGUUUUUAUAAAUACAUUUAUUUGGUGAACAUACUGCAAAGUAAUUUUGGCGUUAUGUAAUAUAGAUAUACUUGAAAGAUCUUUAUAUCAGGCAUUAAAUUGCUUGAUGUAAUAUGGUCAAGUAACUAAGCGCAUACGGUGGAUGCCUUGGCAGCUAGAGGCGAUGAAGGACGUAGUAACUUGCGAUAAGCUUCGGGGAGCCGGUAAACAGGCUUUGAUCCGGAGAUUUCCGAAUGGGA
Molecule: unclassified non-coding RNA, 418 nt
Filed under: uncultured marine bacterium 311
Lineage: Bacteria
Description: partial 16S-23S ribosomal RNA intergenic spacer
Rfam family: Bacterial large subunit ribosomal RNA (bases 295-418)
Source: RNAcentral